This 301-nucleotide ribosomal RNA is filed under the name uncultured bacterium. Its description in RNAcentral is "partial 16S ribosomal RNA". It matches the Rfam family "Bacterial small subunit ribosomal RNA", at positions 509 to 807 of the family's 1533-position model. The record is from RNAcentral.
CAGCCGCCGCGGGAAUACGUAGGUGGCAAGCGUUGUCCGGAUUUAUUGGGCGUAAAGCGAGCGCAGGCGGUUCCUUAAGUCUGAUGUGAAAGCCCCCGGCUCAACCGGGGAGGGUCAUUGGAAACUGGGGAACUUGAGUGCAGAAGAGGAGAGUGGAGUUCCAUGUGUAGCGGUGAAAUGCGUAGAUAUAUGGAGGAACACCAGUGGCGAAGGCGACUCUCUGGUCUGUAACUGACGCUGAGGCUCGAAAGCGUGGGUAGCAAACAGGAUUAGAUACCCGGGUAGUCCCUGUCUCUUAUAC